CCUACGGGACGCAGCAGUGGGGAAUAUUGCACAAUGGGGGAAACCCUGAUGCAGCAACGCCGCGUGAGUGAAGAAGGCCUUCGGGUCGUAAACUUCUGUCCUUGGGGAAGAAGAACUGACGGUACCCAAGGAGGAAGCCCCGGCUAACUACGUGCCAGCAGCCGCGGUAAUACGUAGGGGGCAAGCGUUAUCCGGAAUUAUUGGGCGUAAAGAGUACGUAGGUGGCAACCUAAGCGCAGGGUUUAAGGCAAUGGCUCAACCAUUGUUCGCCCUGCGAACUGGGAUGCUUGAGUGCAGGGAGGAAA
Molecule: ribosomal RNA, 305 nt
Filed under: uncultured bacterium
Lineage: Bacteria
Description: bacterial SSU rRNA
Rfam family: Bacterial small subunit ribosomal RNA
Source: RNAcentral